UCACAAAUCAAUUAUUAUUAUUCAAAAAUCAUGAAAUUUCGAAAUUAAAACAUCAUUAUUCAUUAUAAAAUUGUAACAAUCUCAAUGUCAAGAUUUCAAAACACAAAUCAAAACUAAUUAAAAAGAAAGGAUCCUACCUCUUUUCGAUUAUCCCUUCCUUGAUAUCAUCUCCCCAGAAAGUCAUCUCCUCAAUCAUUCUAUUGUUAGGCCUAGUAGAGAAUGAGGGAUGAAUAGUCCCUUUAUAUAGGAGAAGAUGAGAUCUCCCCGAAAGGUAAGUAAUAAUUUAAUUUUUAUUUUUAAUUUAUUUUACAUUUGCUUUCACACACAAAAAAGUAAUAUAAUAUUUAUUUCUUAUAGUUCAAACACAAAAAUGGAAUGUAAACUAUUUACUUCCUAAAUAUCAAAUCACUCAUUAGGAAAUAAAUCAAUUAAUAAUUUAAUUGAUUAGUAGAAUUCCUAACUUAUCCAUAUGAUUAAGGAAACCAAAUCUAAUCAUUUCCUUAACUAUAAUAUACAAAUAUAGAAGUUAAUAAUAAAGUAAUAUAUCAUUUAUAGUAAUUAAUUUAUGUUAAGGAAAAAAAUUAUCGAUGAUUACAU
RNAcentral lists this long non-coding RNA (597 nucleotides) under Musa acuminata (dwarf banana). RNAcentral's name for it is "long non-coding RNA (MACU_LNC005701)". The record is from RNAcentral. Lineage: Eukaryota; Viridiplantae; Streptophyta; Magnoliopsida; Zingiberales; Musaceae.